RNAcentral lists this ribosomal RNA (253 nucleotides) under uncultured bacterium. RNAcentral describes it as "partial 16S ribosomal RNA". It matches the Rfam family "Bacterial small subunit ribosomal RNA", at positions 524 to 776 of the family's 1533-position model. The record is from RNAcentral.
UACGUAGGUGGCAAGCGUUGUCCGGAAUUAUUGGGCGUAAAGCGCGCGCAGGCGGUUAUGCAAGACAGAUGUGAAAUCCCCGGGCUUAACCUGGGAACUGCAUUUGUGACUGCAUAGCUGGAGUGCGGCAGAGGGGGAUGGAAUUCCGCGUGUAGCAGUGAAAUGCGUAGAUAUGCGGAGGAACACCGAUGGCGAAGGCAAUCCCCUGGGCCUGCACUGACGCUCAUGCACGAAAGCGUGGGGAGCAAACAGG